AGUGAACGCUGGCGGUAGGCCUAACACAUGCAAGUCGAACGGCAGCACAGGAGAGCUUGCUCUCUGGGUGGCGAGUGGCGGACGGGUGAGGAAUACAUCGGAAUCUACUUUUUCGUGGGGGAUAACGUAGGGAAACUUACGCUAAUACCGCAUACGACCUACGGGUGAAAGCAGGGGACCUUCGGGCCUUGCGCGAUUGAAUGAGCCGAUGUCGGAUUAGCUAGUUGGCGGGGUAAAGGCGCACCAAGGCGACGAUCCGUAGCUGGUCUGAGAGGGUGAUCAGCCACACUGGAACUGAGACACGGUCCAGACUCCUACGGGAGGCAGCAGUGGGGACUAUUGGACAAUGGGCGCAAGCCUGAUCCAGCCAUACCGCGUGGGUGAAGAAGGCCUUCGGGUUGUAAAGCCCUUUUGUUGGGAAAGAAAUCCAGCUGGCUAAUACCCGGUUGGGAUGACGGUACCCAAAGAAUAAGCACCGGCUAACUUCGUGCCAGCCGCCGCAGUAA
This 506-nucleotide ribosomal RNA is filed under the name uncultured bacterium. RNAcentral describes it as "partial 16S ribosomal RNA". It matches the Rfam family "Bacterial small subunit ribosomal RNA", at positions 29 to 523 of the family's 1533-position model. The record is from RNAcentral.